UCCUGAGAAUGUGAAAUCCACAUGGGCGG
RNAcentral lists this non-coding RNA (29 nucleotides) under Homo sapiens (human). Lineage: Eukaryota; Metazoa; Chordata; Mammalia; Primates; Hominidae. The record is from RNAcentral.